UGUUUAUCCAGUCAACAUUCAAGAGCAAGUUGUUCAGUUUCCAUGAAGCUGUGCAUUUCUGGGAGUUUCUUAAUUGUGAGUUCUCAUUUGAUUGCACUGUGGCCUGAGAGACUGGUUGUUAUGAUUUCUGUUCCUUUGCCUUUGCUGAGUAGUGUUUUACUUACAAUUAUGAGGUCAAUUUUAGAAUAAGUGUGAUGUGGUGCUGAGAAGAAUGUAUAUUCUGUUCAUUUGGGGUAGAGAGUUUUAUAGAUGUCUCUUAGGUCCAUGUGGUUCAGAGCUGAGUUCAAGUCCUGAGCAUCCUUGUUAAUUUUCUGUCUUGUUGAUCUGU
Sapajus apella (tufted capuchin) is the source of this 328-nucleotide long non-coding RNA. RefSeq lists it as uncharacterized. NCBI's taxonomy places the organism in Eukaryota, Metazoa, Chordata, Mammalia, Primates, Cebidae. The transcript is spliced from 3 exons. The record is from RefSeq and is a predicted model, not a curated record.